AGCGAACGCUGGCGGCAGGCUUAACACAUGCAAGUCGAACGGAUCCUUCGGGAUUAGUGGCGGACGGGUGAGUAACACGUGGGAACGUGCCUUUUGGUUCGGAACAACACAGGGAAACUUGUGCUAAUACCGGAUGUGCCCUUCGGGGAAAGGAUUUAUCGCCAUUAGAGCGGCCCGCGUCUGAUUAGCUAGUUGGUGAGGUAAAGGCUCACCAAGGCUACGAUCAGUAGCUGGUCNGAGAGGAUGAUCAGCCACACUGGGACUGAGACACGGCCCAGACUCCUACGGGAGGCAGCAGUGGGGAAUCUUGCGCAAUGGGGGAAACCCUGACGCAGCCAUGCCGCGUGAAUGAUGAAGGUCUUAGGAUUGUAAAAUUCUUUCAGCGGGGACGAUAAUGACGGUACCCGCAGAAGAAGCUCCGGCUAACUUCGUGCCAGCCGCCGCCGUAAG
RNAcentral lists this ribosomal RNA (450 nucleotides) under uncultured bacterium. Its description in RNAcentral is "bacterial SSU rRNA". It matches the Rfam family "Bacterial small subunit ribosomal RNA", at positions 29 to 524 of the family's 1533-position model. The record is from RNAcentral.